RNAcentral lists this long non-coding RNA (271 nucleotides) under Pan troglodytes (chimpanzee). Its description in RNAcentral is "long non-coding RNA NONPTRT015700". The record is from RNAcentral. Lineage: Eukaryota; Metazoa; Chordata; Mammalia; Primates; Hominidae.
UGCCUCCUGCGGCUAAUCUGGAGGGGCCUCCCGAAGAACUCCUGGACUCAAGCAAUCCACCUGUCUCAGCCUCCCAAAGUGCUGGGAUUACAGAUGUGAGCCACCAUGCUCAGUCUUCCCUCUAUUUAGACUGGAGUGCAAUGGUGCGAUCUCAGCUCACCACAACCUCUGCCUCCUGGGUUCAAGAAAUUCACCUGCCUCAGCCUACUGAGUAGUUGGGAUUACAGGCAUGUGCCACCAUGCCCGGCCCCGGCUAAUUUUGUAUUUAUAG